UACGGAGGAUGCGAGCGUUAUCCGGAUUUAUUGGGUUUAAAGGGUGCGUAGGCGGGAUGCCAAGUCAGCGGUCAAAUACGGGGGCUCAACCCCGGCCUGCCGUCGGAACUGGGUGCCUUGAGUGGGCGAGAAGUAUGCGGAAUGCGUGGUGUAGCGGUGAAAUGCAUAGAUAUCACGCAGAACCCCGAUUGCGAAGGCAGCCUGCCGGCCCCACACUGACGCUGAGGCACGAAAGCGUGGGUAUCGAACAGG
Molecule: ribosomal RNA, 252 nt
Filed under: uncultured Bacteroidales bacterium
Lineage: Bacteria; Pseudomonadati; Bacteroidota; Bacteroidia; Bacteroidales
Description: partial 16S ribosomal RNA
Rfam family: Bacterial small subunit ribosomal RNA
Source: RNAcentral